ACUUUAUUUGAUUUCUUCGGAAUGAAGAUUUUGUGACUGAGUGGCGGACGGGUGAGUAACGCGUGGGUAACCUGCCUCAUACAGGGGGAUAACAGUUGGAAACGACUGCUAAUACCGCAUAAGCGCACAGGGUCGCAUGACCUGGUGUGAAAAACUCCGGUGGUAUGAGAUGGACCCGCGUCUGAUUAGCCAGUUGGUGGGGUAACGGCCUACCAAAGCGACGAUCAGUAGCCGACCUGAGAGGGUGACCGGCCACAUUGGGACUGAGACACGGCCCAAACUCCUACGGGAGGCAGCAGUGGGGAAUAUUGCACAAUGGGGGAAACCCUGAUGCAGCGACGCCGCGUGAGCGAAGAAGUAUUUCGGUAUGUAAAGCUCUAUCAGCAGGGAAGAAGAAAUGACGGUACCUGACUAGGAAGCACCGGCUAAAUACGUGCCAGCAGCCGCGGUAAUACGUAUGGUGCAAGCGUUAUCCGGAUUUACUGGGUGUAAAGGGAGCGCAGGCGGUACGGCAAGUCUGAUGUGAAAGCCCGGGGCUCAACCCCGGUACUGCAUUGGAAACUGUCGGACUAGAGUGUCGGAGGGGUAAGCGGAAUUCCUAGUGUAGCGGUGAAAUGCGUAGAUAUUAGGAGGAACACCAGUGGCGAAGGCGGCUUACUGGACGAAACUGACGCUGAGCUCGAAGCGUGGGAGCAACAGGAUAG
RNAcentral lists this ribosomal RNA (704 nucleotides) under uncultured bacterium. RNAcentral describes it as "bacterial SSU rRNA". It matches the Rfam family "Bacterial small subunit ribosomal RNA", at positions 66 to 780 of the family's 1533-position model. The record is from RNAcentral.